GUGGAGGGUGCCAAGGGAGAAGACAGGAUUCAGAUGUGUACAUAGCAGGUGAAUGAACUGCUCUUGUUGACUGCUUUGAAACGAGCGUUAGUGUGGUCCCCACGCAGGAUGUGUGAGAGGCAUCCUUGGAAAGUUUACAAGGAUAGCUUAGGGGAUGUCUGGGAUGUCUGUUGUUGGAUUUGUCAGGAUUUCUUCCCCUCUUCCUCUAUUUUGGAUGAUGGAAAAAAAAUUAAAAUAUUUAGAACCAGCCAGCUAGACUCAGUGUAGACUGCACGCCAGGCAGGAGCUGUCCCAGGGCACAACUUCCCGCCACCAGACCCAUCGGCUGUGUUGGCCUUGAGCAUGAUCGGCACUGGGUUUCUUUGCACGACGUUGGGUCUGGUGCUGGUUGGUCCCGGCAUCCUUGACAAACAUUGUUGGCCCAUUGCCCUCAGUCUUUUCCACCACAUCUCCCUGGUUCCACCACAUCUCCCACACAACUUGAUGAGGUCGUAGUGGAGGAAGUUGUUUCUCCGUGGAGGGAUCUUCCAAGGGUAUGUGGGCUGCUGCUGCCAUCCUGGGGUCUUGUGCCAAAGAAGAGUGAGCCACUGUGGAUUUUCCAGGCUGUGAAUACCUUUCAGCACGGGCUUCUUGACCUUCAAAGCUUGCUUUGGCUUUGAUUUUUGCAAGGGAGGGGCAUGGUGUCGGGGGUUUCCUUCUUUGCUUUCAACACCAUCCUCAUAAAAAGGAUCUCUCUGUCCCAGAUGUUUUAUAUCUUUUAGGAUCAGUUGCCUCUAACACAAUCGACAGAAAUGAAGUAAAUAAGAGGUUGACAUCACUUUUGAUGAUGUUCUGAAAGAGAAGAAAUUUGAGGAAAAAAAUUAAAGCCUUCAAAAUGUGGCAACUGGGAACCAGCGAGAAAGCUACACCAUGGCGAGUUGCCCCCACCAAGGCAGAGGAGACUCUGAGUGGGUCACGAUUUGACUUAGCAGGUCCAGUGGCCUUUCAUCCACGGCUGUGCCCUAAUCCAAGCUUCUUCAAGCUGUGUUUGAGUUAACCCAAAUACUUCGAGCUGAGAAUUCUGUGCUUUGCUGCUUUUAUUCCAGGGAGUGGUUAACUGUGAAUAAAGGUACUCCAUGCAUUCUUAUGAGUUUUUAAUGGUCAUAGCUGAGAAUGAGUAGGCGGUGAUAGGACUGGGUUUUGAUUUUGGAAAAGCUCUUGGAUUUUUUUCUAGUUUUUGGAGUAAAGUCACAUGCAGAAGUAUUGCCACUGCCGAGGGGAGAAAGAUCUCAUCGUGCGUGUCUGUGCUGAUCAGAAAGUAAUGCUGACAAAUAGUAAGAAUUGUAUACUCCAGAUGGAGCUUUGAAGUGAAAAUGAAUCCCUCGCUCCUCCACGGCUAUAUGUGGGUCUCUGUGUGUUUCCGCAGUGGUGGUACCCUCUGGAGACUGGCCACAGCAUCUCCACUCAGGCCUGCAGCCCGAGAUCAUACUAUAUAUGUAAAUAUUCUUUUAAAACAGAGCUUUAAUGUUCUGUAGGUAGGAAAAAUAAAGCUUUCACAUAGAUUUUAUUUUUUUUUAUUUUUUUAUAUUUUUUUUAUUUUUCACAUAGAUUUUAAAAGCAUUCAAACUUACUGGGGUGCCUGGGUGGCUCAGCUGGUUAAGCAAUCGAUUCUUGGUUUUGGCUCAGGUCCUGAUCUCCUGGGUCAUGGGAUGGAGCCCCACUUAGGGUUUCACGCUCAGCAUGGAGUCUGCUUGAGAUUUUCUCCCUUACUCCUGUUCCCACUCGCACGUGAGUGUGCACGCUCCCUCUCUCUAAAAUAAAUAAAUAAUUUUUUUAAAAAAGGCACUAUAACUUACUGCUGAAUUCGUAUGGAUAAAAUCACGGAGAAAUUCUUGACUUGUGUUACACAGAGGCAUGAGGUCUGGAAAGCUUGAAUGGGAAGUAGUCACCACAGUUUUGGGCAUAUUGUAGAGUUCAAACCCAUAUGUCUUAAAUAACUGAGAAAUGUCACUGCCAUUACAAGCAUCUUAUAAAAGAGUAGUAGCUAUGGAAGCUGAGGCUUACUAGCCAUGGUAGACAGGGCCACCUCCUGCAGGAGAGGGAGGCACGUGCUGCUCUCUGGUGACCGGAGCCCCCAAAGCUUGCACCCCACUCCUGCGUCCUCCUGCAUGCUGGGAUUUCAGUGGUUGUGGCGCUGUGCCAUUGCAUGAAGCACCACUCCUCUUCCUGGGAUUUCUGACAGAGUCGGAUUGACCAUAAAUUUUGCAAAAUUGCUCUCGUCUCUCCCACCUGUGGUUUUGCUUUCAUGUUUGUUGGCUUUAAAAAAAAUGAAUCAUGAGAGGAAAACCAUGUGCCAAGGGUCCACCUCAAUUUAUCAGCAUCUGUGCAUUCCCUGCUAAUUGCCAAUGCUGUGCAGCCUCUCAUAUGUAGUACCAGGCGGUGACACACACUGGAAUCAAAAACCCUUUGGUGUGUUUCCUUGUGGGUUUGUGAAAUAGUUCCAGUCUACCCCAUGUGGUCUCUCAUAUUUGUAGAAUGCUCAGAGCACUAAGAUGUUAAAAUAUAUUUUUUUCAAUCAUCACUUUGUGUUUCUUAUUUAUGUCACUGGUUAGAUAGCUUAGCCCUUGGAGUUUUUAUUGACUUUGUUUCGUUUCCUAGGGAGAUCGCCAACUCCUUACCAGAGAUGGUAGAGGAGGCCUGUCUCGGAGCCGCCCUGCCUUCACAUCCCUGCUCCUUGGGCUGGGCUUUGCACCGCUGCCCUGUGGCUUUUCUGACUCAGUGAUGGUCAACGUGAAGGCACAUUGCUGCCCAAUCUCUUUUGAUGUCUCCUGCUUCACAUGGUGAUUCCCUUUCUUAUUUCUGUUUUGAGAAAUUGAGCAAGACCUGCCAUUAAAGCAGCAUUGGCUAACAUGAUUUAUACUUGGCAAUAAGGCAGCCCAGGUGGCUCAGCAGUUUAGCGCCGCUGUCAGCCCCGGGCGUGAUCCUGGGGACCCGGGGUCGAGUCCCACAUCAGGCUCCGUGCAUGGAGCCUGCUUCUCCCUCUGCCUGUGUCUCUGCCUCUCUCUCUCUCUCUCUCAUAAUAAAUAAAUAAAUCUUUAUACUUGGCAAUAAUGUAGCAACUGCCUGGAAAUAACCUCAGGUUUUCUUAAUUAAAUUAGUCACAAACUUCCAGGGAAUAACCCAAAGGUCAUUAUUAUCACUGCAAUCCUAAGAACCUAUAUAUAAGAAAAAAUGAGUUGAUUACCUUAUUUGGGGUUUGAGUUAAUUUGAUUUACACGCUGCUCUGGAUAGUGGUAUAAAAGGAAAGUGGUGCUUGUUUUUCAUAUUCUGCGGAUUUCUAUUCUUAGCUUGGAUAGUAUGCCUAAGCACUUAAAAAAAAAAGUUGGCGCACACUGCCGAAAGCAAUAAAUUGCUAAAGAACUCAUUUUUGACGCUGGCUUUAGCACCUUUGACCUUAGACUAACUUUAUUUACUCAGUUACUCUGUUAAACAUUAUUAUAUAAUAUAUCAUACAGGGAUAUUUUACUUUUCUGGAGGAAUUAUUCCUCAGGACCGCUCUGAAGCUAUAGAGU
This 3551-nucleotide long non-coding RNA is filed under the name Canis lupus familiaris (dog). RNAcentral's name for it is "lncRNA (ENSCAFG00040025212.1)". The record is from RNAcentral. Lineage: Eukaryota; Metazoa; Chordata; Mammalia; Carnivora; Canidae.